RNAcentral lists this ribosomal RNA (253 nucleotides) under uncultured bacterium. RNAcentral's name for it is "partial 16S ribosomal RNA". It matches the Rfam family "Bacterial small subunit ribosomal RNA", at positions 524 to 776 of the family's 1533-position model. The record is from RNAcentral.
UACGUAGGGGGCAAGCGUUGUCCGGAUUUACUGGGUUUAAAGGGUGCGUAGGUGGAUAAUUAAGUCAGUGGUGAAAUCUUCAGGCUUAACCUGGAAACUGCCAUUGAUACUAUUUGUCUUGAAUACUUUGGAGGUAAGCGGAAUAUGUCAUGUAGCGGUGAAAUGCUUAGAUAUGACAUAGAACACCAAUUGCGAAGGCAGCUUACUACACAGUAAUUGACACUGAGGCACGAAAGCGUGGGGAUCAAACAGG